GCACCCGUAGCUCAGCUGGAUAGAGUACCUGGCUACGAACUAGGGGGUCGCACGUUCGAAUCGUGCCGGGUGCGCCA
RNAcentral lists this transfer RNA (77 nucleotides) under bacterium. RNAcentral describes it as "tRNA-Arg". It matches the Rfam family "tRNA". Rfam says of the family: Transfer RNA (tRNA) molecules are approximately 80 nucleotides in length. Their secondary structure includes four short double-helical elements and three loops (D, anti-codon, and T loops). Further hydrogen bonds mediate the characteristic L-shaped molecular structure. tRNAs have two regions of fundamental functional importance: the anti-codon, which is responsible for specific mRNA codon recognition, and the 3' end, to which the tRNAs corresponding amino acid is attached (by aminoacyl-tRNA synthetases). tRNAs cope with the degeneracy of the genetic code in two manners: having more than one tRNA (with a specific anti-codon) for a particular amino acid; and 'wobble' base-pairing, i.e. permitting non-standard base-pairing at the 3rd anti-codon position. RNAcentral also lists the same sequence under 10 other names. The record is from RNAcentral.